Molecule: ribosomal RNA, 1341 nt
Filed under: uncultured bacterium
Lineage: Bacteria
Description: bacterial SSU rRNA
Rfam family: Bacterial small subunit ribosomal RNA
Source: RNAcentral
AGAGUUUGAUCCUGGCUCAGGACGAACGCUGGCGGCGCGCCUAACACAUGCAAGUCGAACGAGCGAGAGAGAGCUUGCUUUCUCGAGCGAGUGGCGAACGGGUGAGUAACGCGUGAGGAACCUGCCUCAAAGAGGGGGACAACAGUUGGAAACGACUGCUAAUACCGCAUAAGCCCACAGCUCGGCAUCGAGCAGAGGGAAAAGGAGCAAUCCGCUUUGAGAUGGCCUCGCGUCCGAUUAGCUAGUUGGUGAGGUAACGGCCCACCAAGGCGACGAUCGGUAGCCGGACUGAGAGGUUGAACGGCCACAUUGGGACUGAGACACGGCCCAGACUCCUACGGGAGGCAGCAGUGGGGAAUAUUGCACAAUGGGGGAAACCCUGAUGCAGCGACGCCGCGUGGAGGAAGAAGGUCUUCGGAUUGUAAACUCCUGUUGUUGAGGAAGAUAAUGACGGUACUCAACAAGGAAGUGACGGCUAACUACGUGCCAGCAGCCGCGGUAAAACGUAGGUCACAAGCGUUGUCCGGAAUUACUGGGUGUAAAGGGAGCGCAGGCGGGAAGACAAGUUGGAAGUGAAAUCCAUGGGCUCAACCCAUGAACUGCUUUCAAACUGUUUUUCUUGAGUAGUGCAGAGGUAGGCGGAAUUCCCGGUGUAGCGGUGGAAUGCGUAGAUAUCGGGAGGAACACCAGUGGCGAAGGCGGCCUACUGGGCACCAACUGACGCUGAGGCUCGAAAGUGUGGGUAGCAACAGGAUUAGAUACCCUGGUAGUCCACACUGUAAACGAUGAUUACUAGGUGUUGGAGGAUUGACCCCUUCAGUGCCGCAGUUAACACAAUAAGUAAUCCACCUGGGGAGUACGACCGCAAGGUUGAAACUCAAAGGAAUUGACGGGGGCCCGCACAAGCAGUGGAGUAUGUGGUUUAAUUCGACGCAACGCGAAGAACCUUACCAAGUCUUGACAUCCUGCGACGCACAUAGAAAUAUGCGUUUCCUUCGGGACGCAGAGACAGGUGGUGCAUGGUUGUCGUCAGCUCGUGUCGUGAGAUGUUGGGUUAAGUCCCGCAACGAGCGCAACCCUUAUGGUCAGUUACUACGCAAGAGGACUCUGGCCAGACUGCCGUUGACAAAACGGAGGAAGGUGGGGAUGACGUCAAAUCAUCAUGCCCUUUAUGACUUGGGCUACACACGUACUACAAUGGCGUUAAACAAAGAGAAGCAAGACCGCGAGGUGGAGCAAAACUCAGAAACAACGUCCCAGUUCGGACUGCAGGCUGCAACUCGCCUGCACGAAGUCGGAAUUGCUAGUAAUCGCAGAUCAGCAUGCUGCGGUGAAUACGUC